UACGUAGGGGGCAAGCGUUGUCCGGAUUUAUUGGGCGUAAAGAGCGUGUAGGCGGCUUUGCAGGUCCGCUGUGAAAACUCGAGGCUCAACCUCGAGCUGUCGGUGGAAACCGUAAAGCUAGAGUCCGGAAGAGGAGAGUGGAAUUCCCGGUGUAGCGGUGAAAUGCGCAGAUAUCGGGAAGAACACCCGUGGCGAAGGCGGCUCUCUGGGACGGUACUGACGCUGAGACGCGAAAGCGUGGGGAGCGAACAGG
This 253-nucleotide ribosomal RNA is filed under the name uncultured bacterium. Its description in RNAcentral is "partial 16S ribosomal RNA". It matches the Rfam family "Bacterial small subunit ribosomal RNA", at positions 524 to 776 of the family's 1533-position model. The record is from RNAcentral.